Molecule: ribosomal RNA, 252 nt
Filed under: uncultured Bacteroidales bacterium
Lineage: Bacteria; Pseudomonadati; Bacteroidota; Bacteroidia; Bacteroidales
Description: partial 16S ribosomal RNA
Rfam family: Bacterial small subunit ribosomal RNA
Source: RNAcentral
UACGGAGGAUGCGAGCGUUAUCCGGAUUUAUUGGGUUUAAAGGGUGCGUAGGCGGGCAUUUAAGCCGGCGGUCAAAUGUCGGGGCUCAACCCCGGCCGGCCGUUGAAACUGGCGUGCUCGAGUUGGAGAGAAGUAUGCGGAAUUCGUGGUGUAGCGGUGAAAUGCAUAGAUAUCACGAAGAACCCCGAUUGCGAAGGCAGCAUACCGGCUCCACACUGACGCUGAGGCACGAAAGCGUGGGUAUCGAACAGG